AGUGAACGCUGGCGGUAGGCCUAACACAUGCAAGUCGAACGGCAGCACAGUAAGAGCUUGCUCUUACGGGUGGCGAGUGGCGGACGGGUGAGGAAUACAUCGGAAUCUACUUUUUCGUGGGGGAUAACGUAGGGAAACUUACGCUAAUACCGCAUACGACCUACGGGUGAAAGCAGGGGAUCUUCGGACCUUGCGCGAUUGAAUGAGCCGAUGUCGGAUUAGCUAGUUGGCGGGGUAAAGGCCCACCAAGGCGACGAUCCGUAGCUGGUCUGAGAGGAUGAUCAGCCACACUGGAACUGAGACACGGUCCAGACUCCUACGGGAGGCAGCAGUGGGGAAUAUUGGACAAUGGGCGCAAGCCUGAUCCAGCCAUACCGCGUGGGUGAAGAAGGCCUUCGGGUUGUAAAGCCCUUUUGUUGGGAAAGAAAAGCAGCAGGUUAAUACCCCGCUGUUCCGACGGUACCCAAAGAAUAAGUACCGGCUAACUUCGUG
This 492-nucleotide ribosomal RNA is filed under the name uncultured bacterium. RNAcentral describes it as "partial 16S ribosomal RNA". It matches the Rfam family "Bacterial small subunit ribosomal RNA", at positions 29 to 507 of the family's 1533-position model. The record is from RNAcentral.